This 554-nucleotide ribosomal RNA is filed under the name uncultured archaeon. RNAcentral's name for it is "bacterial SSU rRNA". It matches the Rfam family "Archaeal small subunit ribosomal RNA", at positions 321 to 879 of the family's 1478-position model. The record is from RNAcentral.
CCCUACGGGGUGCAGCAUGCGCGAAAACUUUACAAUGCGAGCAAUCGUGAUAAGGGAACUCCGAGUGCCUGUAAAAUCAGGCUGUCCGCCAGUUUAAAUAACUGGUGAAGAAAGGGCCGGGCAAGACCGGUGCCAGCCGCCGCGGUAAUACCGGCGGCUCGAGUGGUGGCCACUAUUACUGGGCUUAAAGCGUUCGUAGCUGGUCUGUUAAGUCUCUGGGGAAAUCUUCCGGCUUAACCGGAAGGCGUCUCAGGGAUACUGGCAGACUAGGGACCGGAAGAGGUGAGAGGUACUCCAGGGGUAGGAGUGAAAUCCUGUAAUCCUUGGGGGACCACCUGUGGCGAAGGCGUCUCACCAGGACAGCUCCGACAGUGAGGGACGAAAGCUGGGGGAGCAAACCGGAUUAGAUACCCGGGUAGUCCCGGCCGUAGACGAUGUGCGUUAGGUGUAUCGGUGACCACGAGUCACCGAGGUGCCGAAGAGAAAUCGUGAAACGUACCGCCUGGGAAGUACGGUCGCAAGGCUGAAACUUAAAGGAAUUGGCGGGGGAGCAC